Molecule: ribosomal RNA, 497 nt
Filed under: uncultured bacterium
Lineage: Bacteria
Description: partial 16S ribosomal RNA
Rfam family: Bacterial small subunit ribosomal RNA
Source: RNAcentral
GAUGAACGCUGGCGGCGUGCCUAAUACAUGCAAGUCGAGCGAACAGAUAAGGGGCUUGCUCCUUUGACGUUAGCGGCGGACGGGUGAGUAACACGUGGGUAACCUACCUAUAAGACUGGGAUAACUUCGGGAAACCGGAGCUAAUACCGGAUAAUAUUUCGAACCGCAUGGUUCGAUAGUGAAAGAUGGUUUUGCUAUCACUUAUAGAUGGACCCGCGCCGUAUUAGCUAGUUGGUGAGGUAACGGCUUACCAAGGCGACGAUACGUAGCCGACCUGAGAGGGUGAUCGGCCACACUGGAACUGAGACACGGUCCAGACUCCUACGGGAGGCAGCAGUAGGGAAUCUUCCGCAAUGGGCGAAAGCCUGACGGAGCAACGCCGCGUGAGUGAUGAAGGUCUUCGGAUCGUAAAACUCUGUUAUUAGGGAAGAACAUACGUGUAAGUAACUGUGCACGUCUUGACGGUACCUAAUCAGAAAGCCACGGCUAACUACGUG